AGCUGGAUCAUUUUCCGAUGAUCAAAAACAACAACAAAACCCAAACCCCGCUGUCCGUGCAUUCAUUUGCGCGUGACGCACAACAAACCAACCCAAAAACAAACCAACUUGCCGCUCGAGGGCGGGAGGACCACCACCAGCGUCCUCCGCCCUUUGAGCACGGCUUUCACAACGUGUCGCGAUGGAUGACUUGGCUUCCUAUUUCGUUGAAGAACGCAGCAAAGUGCGAUAAGUGGUAUCAAUUGCAGAAUCACUCAAUUACCGAAUCUUUGAACGCAAAUGGCGCCCGGGAGAAGCCUCCAACGGCCAUCCCCGUGCAUGCCGUAUCGCUCAGUGUCGAACAAAAACCCAACCCCAAAAAAGAGUCUUGGCUUGUCGCGCGCGCUUCCCUGCGUUGUGUGGCGUCCGAGUGGUUACCCCGAAUCAACCGUCAAACCGUCGAUUCAUGGGUAAUGUAAAUCAUUUGAUUCGCGGAAGAAGGGCGUGUGGCGGAAGGGGGGUCCGCCUCUCUCUCCACCAUGCGCCUUCAUCUUCUGCGAUCAACGGGCGAAAUCAACUUCACCUGUUGACAAACACAACCUCUUUUUUGUUACAGAAACCUGACGGUGCGGCAGGAUCACCCGCCGAACUUAAGCAUAUUACUCAGCGGAGGAAAAGAAAACAACCGUGAUUCCCUCAGUCAGCGGCGAGCGAAGAGGGACCGAACUCGAUGCCGAAUCGGGCUUCAUAUAGCCUUGAGUUGUGGCAAGGUGCUUCGUGAUUGGUGUGGGAAUGGCGAAAUUCAAUGCGUAAAGCAAACCCAUUGCUGAACACAACCCUUCAUGUGAGUAUUGAGCCAAAGAAGGUGACAGCCCAUUGAGCCAUAAACCCGAGCAUCUCACUAAGUACCAUCAAGCGAGUAGCGCUUCUUGGGAGUGAAGCGUCAAUCGGCAGGUAUGUGUCUGCCAAGGUUAAAUAUAGAGUAGGAAGACCGAUAUCGAACAAGUAGCGUGAGCGAAAGUUUGAAAAGCACUUUGGAAAGAGAGUGACAUAGAACCUGAAGUCGUGACAAUGACAAUGGAAGCAUCUCCAUUUACUGCCAAAACCAGCCUCUCAGCAUCAUCCGCUCGGGACUUUAGUGCCCAGGCGGCAACGACUGCAGAACCGGGGCGUGGUGACAUGAGCGGAGCUAAAGUUGGACGCACUGCCUAGCAGCGAGCGCCUUCUUCUCCGUGCCCUCAAUGUUGGCGCAAGGCAAUGGGAUGCCUUCACCCGUCUUGAAACACGGACCAAGGAGUCAAACAGACACGCAAGAGGGAGGAUAUUGUUAACAGUACUUCUCUCGUACUGAAAGGGUGAUACCUGGUAUCAUGGUGUGCACACAAACGAAUGCCCAACACCAACCGGCCCGUACGCGGGUUGAGUUUGAGUGUGCCUGUUUGGACCCGAAAGGUGGUGAACUAUGCCUGAACAAGGUGAAGCCCGGGGAAACCCAGGUGGAGGCCUGUAGCGAUGCUGACGUGCAAAUCGCUCGCAAGAUUUGGGUAUCGGAGCGAAAGACUCAUCGAACCACCUAGUAGCUGGUUCACGU
Molecule: unclassified non-coding RNA, 1570 nt
Filed under: uncultured fungus
Lineage: Eukaryota; Fungi
Description: sequence contains 18S rRNA gene, ITS1, 5.8S rRNA gene, ITS2, 28S rRNA gene
Rfam family: Eukaryotic large subunit ribosomal RNA (bases 596-1570)
Source: RNAcentral